This 146-nucleotide ribosomal RNA is filed under the name uncultured bacterium. RNAcentral's name for it is "partial 16S ribosomal RNA". It matches the Rfam family "Bacterial small subunit ribosomal RNA", at positions 640 to 789 of the family's 1533-position model. The record is from RNAcentral.
CCUUGAGUACAAUGAAGUAGGCGGAAUGAGUCAUGUACGGUGAAUGCAUAGAUAUGACUCAAACACCGAUUGCGAAGGCAGCUUACUAACAUGUAACUGACGCUGAGGGACGAAAGCGGGGGGAGCGAACAGGAUUAGAUACCCUG